Molecule: transfer-messenger RNA, 174 nt
Filed under: Methylobacter sp.
Lineage: Bacteria; Pseudomonadati; Pseudomonadota; Gammaproteobacteria; Methylococcales; Methylococcaceae
Description: partial transfer-messenger RNA
Rfam family: transfer-messenger RNA
About the family: Bacterial tmRNA, also known as 10Sa RNA or SsrA, is named for its dual tRNA and mRNA-like properties. Its role is to liberate the mRNA from a stalled ribosome.
Source: RNAcentral
GGGGGCGACAUGGCUUCGACGUGGGUAGCGAAACCUAGAGUGCAUGCCGAGGACAGUACACCUCGUAAAAUCUACUGAAACUAAAGUAUUCGCAAAUGACGAAAACUACUCAAUGGCUUUAGCUGCUUAAUAACAGCACCAUUCCUUUGACCAUCUGUGCUUAUGCGGGUGGAG